CAUACACAGCACUCUCACACACAUCAUACACAGCACUCUCACACAUCACACUCUGCAUUCUCACACACAUCAUACACAGCACUCUCACACUCAGCACUCUCACACACAUCACACUCUGCACUCUCACACACAUCAUACACAGCACUCUCACACACAUCAUACACAGCACUCUCACACAUCACAAUCAGCACUCUCACACACAUCACACACAGCACUCUCACACA
Molecule: non-coding RNA, 224 nt
Organism: Pelobates cultripes (western spadefoot toad)
Lineage: Eukaryota; Metazoa; Chordata; Amphibia; Anura; Pelobatidae
Source: the annotation of a GenBank genome assembly